CCUACGGGAGGCAGCAGUGGGGAAUAUUGUACAAUGGGCGCAAGCCUGAUGCAGCCAUGCCGCGUGUGUGAAGAAGGCCUUCGGGUUGUAAAGCACCUUCAGCGGGGAGGAAGGCGGUGAGG
Molecule: ribosomal RNA, 122 nt
Filed under: uncultured bacterium
Lineage: Bacteria
Description: partial 16S ribosomal RNA
Rfam family: Bacterial small subunit ribosomal RNA
Source: RNAcentral